GGAAACUUACGCUAAUACCGCAUACGACCUACGGGUGAAAGUGGGGGACCGCAAGGCCUCACGCGAUUAGAUGAGCCGAUGUCCGAUUAGCUAGUUGGCGGGGUAAUGGCCCACCAAGGCGACGAUCGGUAGCUGGUCUGAGAGGAUGAUCAGCCACACUGGAACUGAGACACGGUCCAGACUCCUACGGGAGGCAGCAGUGGGGAAUAUUGGACAAUGGGCGCAAGCCUGAUCCAGCCAUACCGCGUGGGUGAAGAAGGCCUUCGGGUUGUAAAGCCCUUUUGUUGGGAAAGAAAUCCUAUCGGUUAAUAACCGGUGGGGAUGACGGCACCCAAAGAAUAAGCACCGGCUAACUUCGUGCCAGCAGCCGCGGUAAUACGAAGGGUGCAAGCGUUACUCGGAAUGACUGGGCGUAAAGCGUGCGUAGGUGAUGGUUUAAGUCCGUUGUGAAAGCCCUGGGCUCAACCUGGGAAUUGCAGUGGAUACUGGAUCACUAGAGUGUGGUAGAGGGAUGCGGAAUUUCUGGUGUAGCAGUGAAAUGCGUAGAGAUCAGAAGGAACAUCCGUGGCGAAGGCGGCAUCCUGGGCCAACACUGACACU
This 600-nucleotide ribosomal RNA is filed under the name uncultured Pseudomonadota bacterium. RNAcentral describes it as "bacterial SSU rRNA". It matches the Rfam family "Bacterial small subunit ribosomal RNA", at positions 152 to 747 of the family's 1533-position model. Lineage: Bacteria; Pseudomonadati; Pseudomonadota. The record is from RNAcentral.